RNAcentral lists this ribosomal RNA (269 nucleotides) under uncultured bacterium. RNAcentral's name for it is "partial 16S ribosomal RNA". It matches the Rfam family "Bacterial small subunit ribosomal RNA", at positions 524 to 776 of the family's 1533-position model. The record is from RNAcentral.
UACGAAGGGGACUAGCGUUGCUCGGAAUGACUGGGCGUAAAGGGCGCGUAGGCGGCAUGCCAAGCGUGUGGUGAAAGCCCGGGGCUCAACCCCGGGUCGGCCGUGCGGACUGGCGUGCUCGAGCACUGUAGGGGCGGGUGGAAUUCCGGGUGUAGCGGUGGAAUGCGUAGAGAUCCGGAAGAACACCGGUGGCGAAGGCGGCCCGCUGGGCAGGAAGGCUCGCAAGAGCCGGCUGACGCUGAGGCGCGACAGCGUGGGGAGCAAACAGG